UGAGAGCAAGAACCUGGAGACGGAAUCUGAGACAAGAUUCCGGGCCCUACGGGGCGCAGCAGGCGCGAAACCUUUACACUGCACGCACGUGCGAUAAGGGGACUCCGAGUGCGAGGGCAUAUCGUCCUCGCUUUCGUGUACCGUAGGGUGGUACACCAACAAGGGCUGGGCAAGACCGGUGCCAGCCGCCGCGGUAAUACCGGCAGCCCGAGUGAUGGCCGAUCUUAUUGGGCCUAAAGCGUCCGUAGCUGGCUGCGCAAGUCCGUCGGGAAAUCCACUCGCCCAACGAGUGGGCGUCCGACGGAAACUGCACAGCUUGGGACCGGAAGGCUCGAAGGGUACGUUCGGGGUAGGAGUGAAAUCCCAUAAUCCCGCACGGACCACCGAUGGCGAAAGCACUUCGAGAAAACGGAUCCGACAGUGAGGGACGAAAGCCAGGGUCUCCAACCGGAUUAGAUACCCGGGUAGUCCUGGCCGUAAACAAUGUUCGCUAGGUAUGACACAGACUACGCGUCUCUGUUGUGCCGUAGGGAAGCCGAGAAGCGAACCGCCUGGGAAGUACGUCUGCAAGGAUGAAACUUAAAGGAAUUGGCGGGGGAGCACUACAACCGGAGGAGCCUGCGGUUUAAUUGGAUUC
This 637-nucleotide ribosomal RNA is filed under the name uncultured archaeon. RNAcentral describes it as "bacterial SSU rRNA". It matches the Rfam family "Archaeal small subunit ribosomal RNA", at positions 277 to 913 of the family's 1478-position model. The record is from RNAcentral.